GAUGAACGCUGGCGGCGUGCCUAAUACAUGCAGGUCGAGCGAACGGACGAGAAGCUUGCUUCUCUGAUGUUAGCGGCGGACGGGUGAGUAACACGUGGAUAACCUACCUAUAAGACUGGGAUAACUUCGGGAAACCGGAGCUAAUACCGGAUAAUAUUUUGAACCGCAUGGUUCAAAAGUGAAAGACGGUCUUGCUGUCACUUAUAGAUGGAUCCGCGCUGCAUUAGCUAGUUGGUAAGGUAACGGCUUACCAAGGCAACGAUGCAUAGCCGACCUGAGAGGGUGAGCGGCCACACUGGAACUGAGACACGGUCCAGACUCCUACGGGAGGCAGCAGUAGGGAAUCUUCCGCAAUGGGCGAAAGCCUGACGGAGCAACGCCGCGUGAGUGAUGAAGGUCUUCGGAUCGUAAAACUCUGUUAUUAGGGAAGAACAUAUGUGUAAGUAACUGUGCACAUCUUGACGGUACCUAAUCAGAAAGCCACGGCUAACUACGUG
Molecule: ribosomal RNA, 497 nt
Filed under: uncultured bacterium
Lineage: Bacteria
Description: partial 16S ribosomal RNA
Rfam family: Bacterial small subunit ribosomal RNA
Source: RNAcentral